AAUCAACGCUGGCGGCGUGCCCAACACAUGCAAGUCGAGCGCGAAAGCGGGCAACUCGCAAGUAGAGCGGCGAACGGGUGAGUAACGCGUGGGUGAUCUACCUCCGAGUGGGGAACAACAUCGGGAAACUGGUGCUAAUACCGCAUGACAUCCUCGGGUCAUACUGAGGAUCAAAGGCCGGGACCGCAAGGCCUGGCGCUUGGAGAGGACGCCCGCGUCCGAUUAGCUAGUUGGCGGGGUAACGGCCCACCAAGGCGACGAUCGGUAGCCGGCCUGAGAGGGCGGACGGCCACACGUGGGACUGAGACACGGCCCGAGACUCCUACGGGAGGCAGCAGGUGGGUAAUUUUUCGCAAGUGGCGCAA
RNAcentral lists this ribosomal RNA (365 nucleotides) under uncultured bacterium. Its description in RNAcentral is "bacterial SSU rRNA". It matches the Rfam family "Bacterial small subunit ribosomal RNA", at positions 29 to 380 of the family's 1533-position model. The record is from RNAcentral.